Molecule: ribosomal RNA, 169 nt
Filed under: uncultured rumen bacterium
Lineage: Bacteria
Description: partial 16S ribosomal RNA
Rfam family: Bacterial small subunit ribosomal RNA
Source: RNAcentral
UACGGAGGCAGCAGUGGGGAAUAUUGGGCAAUGGGCGAAAGCCUGACCCAGCAACGCCGCGUGAAGGAAGAAGGUCUUCGGAUUGUAAACUUCUUUUAUGAGGGACGAAGGACGUGACGGUACCUCAUGAAUAAGCCACGGCUAACUACGUGCCAGCAGCCGCGGUAAU